UUGGUUUGAGUAUACACUCUUAGAAAAAAAGGUUCUUUGGGGUUCUAUAUAGAACCCUAGGGUUCUUUAACCAACUUUAUAGAACCCUUUCUGCCAAAAAGGUUCUAUAUAAGGAGAAAAAACCCUUUUGGCACAAAGGGUUCUUUGGGCUAAAUGUGCUUUAUAUACAUUAUUAGUGCUUUAUUUAAAUGAUUACACUAUUGAACAUUAUAUUUGUGUUUUUACUUCAAUUUUACUUAGGCACACCUUUCAUUCUGAAGAAAACAAACUUAUAUACAUAUUCAAGUUUAAUAGGUUUAUUAGAAAAUAAUAAUUGACGCAUUAUCCUGUAAUGAAAAAAAAAAUCUAAAUUAGUUGUUUCUGGAUCUAGGCGCUAGGGGCAGAAUUCUGCGAUUUGCUGGUUAAAGAAAAUCCUGUAGGAAUUACUUAGAUUCUGAAAGUCAAUUCUUAUAACUCAACCCUCCAAACAGAUGCACUAAAUGAUAUUAGACAUAAAUAACUUGCAUGUGUAUGCGCUGAUCAGUUCUGUACUGUCUGCACGCGCAGUGUCGGAUUCCAGCCGCGCGCGUCGUGCGCGAGUAAUUAGAAUGCGCGUGAACGCAGCAUUUUAAACUUCAACCGUUACGGACGUCCGUUUGAGCUCAGCGCUCGAGAGGACGACGAUUAAAUUGAAUCAAAAAGAAGAAAUGUGGUUUACGGUGCUGUCCGGGCCUGCGCUAUUCUCCGCCAGGAGAUUGUAUUGGACCUAGAAAACGCAUAAAACGAUGUUUCAGGAGCAGUCAAAUCACGUGAUCACAGCGAGACUGCACUGUUUUGUUUACAUUGAUUCAUUUGAAUGAAAUGGACUCUGGAGUGCAGCAUUACUUCAUUAAGAUGAAAAUAACACACCUGUAUGAUUCAAGAUGUCAAGCCCCCUGAACGCAAAGAGAGUCUGCAUCAAAAUUUACGUGCCCCUGAUUGAAAACCAACACAAAAAUGCGUAUAAAUAGUACGAGUGUGUAAUCUCGUAGAAUAUAUACGGCAAAAUGAGUUUUGGCGUGC
Molecule: long non-coding RNA, 1041 nt
Organism: Megalobrama amblycephala (Wuchang bream)
Lineage: Eukaryota; Metazoa; Chordata; Actinopteri; Cypriniformes; Xenocyprididae
Exons: 5
Source: RefSeq, a predicted model, not a curated record